AUGAAGCCACUUGAGUGCAUCACUGGAGGUGCAUGGGGGGAGGCUGCAGGCCCCUGCUGGGACCCCAUUGUGGAGCACCUGGGACCCCAUGAAGGCUGGACUAGAUGGUUCUCAGAGCUCCCUCCCCACCCUUAUAGGCUGAUGUGGGGACAGGGAGGCCAGAUUAGAAUUCCCCAGGCUCUGCCUUCAGGGAGGCAGCUGGCCUGGCUGGGCUGCUCCGGGUGCCCCCUGCCCCAAUCUCCUCUCUUGACAGCCCUUCUCUGGCCUGGCAUGUCCCACAGAGCCCAGGGCUCAUGUGCUGCCCGCCCUGUGCUCCCAGGACCAAUGAGUGAUCACAAGGUCCAAGGUCAGACCUGCUCACUUGGAGCUGGCUGGAGGGCAAAGAUGCAAAUGAGAGGGGCAAGGUGGGGGGCAGGGGGUGAAGGAGGCCAUCGUUCGUCCAGUCUGGGCCACUGGGGCAGGUUUCAUAGAUGAGGCACCCUUUGAACUGGUUUGAGAGAGAGCUGAGAGUUUGCCAGGGAUGUGGGGAGAAAAAGGGCUUCUUAAGUAUAGAGAACAGCCAAGACCAGUGUCGGGUGGGGUAGUUAAGGGCCUCUUGGCUUUCUCCUUUUUGUAGCUGACAUUUGGCAGUAGCCACAGAUGAAGCUGUUGGUGGGGGUCUCUGAGGCGAGAUCCCAGGUUAGAGAGCAGAAUCUGUUGGUGCCGGUGUGCAGGGAGGGGCGCUGGUGUAGCAGAGCAGGCUGAGGCAAG
This 750-nucleotide long non-coding RNA is filed under the name Capra hircus (goat). Its description in RNAcentral is "lncRNA (ENSCHIG00010012683.1)". The record is from RNAcentral. Lineage: Eukaryota; Metazoa; Chordata; Mammalia; Artiodactyla; Bovidae.